Drosophila yakuba is the source of this 2690-nucleotide long non-coding RNA. RefSeq lists it as uncharacterized. The transcript is spliced from 3 exons. Lineage: Eukaryota; Metazoa; Arthropoda; Insecta; Diptera; Drosophilidae. The record is from RefSeq and is a predicted model, not a curated record.
UAAACAAAUUAAUUUAUUAGUACAAGUCAUUUAAUAUUGAGGCAGAUCGUGCUAAAUGGAUGCGCGUAAACAUAAUUUAGUUUUAGGUACCAAAUUUUUUGUUAUUUGGAGAAAGGGGUGAGGUAUCAGUUAAAUGUUGAUUGCAAAAAAAUAUUUUAAAUAUGUAAAUUUUGUUAUUAAUGACUCAUCCAUCUUAUUUAAUGUUACGAGUACGUCAUGUAGAUAAAUAUCUACGCCAUAUAUAUUCUACAUAGUGUCACUUUCAAGUUCCCAUUUUAAUCCGCACUACUACGCCAUGGCGGCGCUACUGUGUUAUUUGACGCGACACACACUCUACACGCUGUAUUAUACAAAACGAGUGAACUCGCCGUUUGUUGUGAAAUUACCAAAGGAACACGAAAUGAGGGGAAAGAAAAAACGAAAUGAUAAAACAAAAGAAAAUACAAAAUAAAAACGAGAAAAUCAAAAAGUGCGGAAAGGGUAAAUUCAAAUCUAAUGCAUUAUUUAAUUUGUGCAACAAAACAACAAAAACGUGUCGGCAAAUAAAAAUGCAAAUAUGUACGCAUUUGUUGAUGUAUAACAAAAAAAGAUAAUAUUAUUAUUCCAUUACAUCUUUCGCCAAUUGUUACGGCUUGAAUUUGGCCAACAGUCCUCUAGUUUUAUUUCUUCCCCUUCGCACGGACACAUUCAAAAGAAACCCAAUAUGCCGGCUGCUUCAUACAGUGACGCAUUGUGCGAUAACAACUGACAACAACCACAUGAAAAUUGGACAUGAUCAUUCAUGUGCGCGCUUGCCACACCUGAGUGUGUGUGUGCGCGCGUCUGUGUGGUCACCAAGUUAGGGGAUGGCAUUAGACAAACUCUUAUUUCUUUCAAGAACAAAAACAUAAUUUUUGGCAUGUAUGUAAAUCUAAAAAUGAGAAAUGCGAAAAUUAAACAAAAAAAGUGGUUAAAUGUGGGGCGAUCGCUUAAAAUCGUUAACCAAUCCCAAUCCGAUUUUCAAUGAAAACUAUCAAAUGUAUUAUUAAUUUUAAGUUCCUUAAAAUAUUCACCUUUUUUGCGUUUAUUUAAGUCUGCUAAGUGUGUUAUUUCGGCUCAGAUUUACCCGCAAACCAAAAACACUUCUGCACUCUGCGACGUCUAAAAACCAACUGCUCAGAUACUGUGAUACUAUUGCGGCUCCAGAUAUUGAGAGAGAGAGAGAUCGAGUGAUGGAGCGAGCGAGCGAGCGAGAUGCACAGUACACAUGUGCUACACAAACACCGACACAGCACAGCUGACGGCGCAACAAGUUAGCAGGCCGUCUCGCUCACACCCUCAGCAAGUUCAAUCCCAAGGUGGGAGCGACAGUGCUCUCUUUCUGUUUCUGCGUUGAGCGCAGUGUUCUUCUGCCAAUUACAUAGAUUUUUGACCGGCAUAGGCCGUCGAAAACAAAGUUAACCGUUCGGAUUGCACCAAUACAAUUGCCCCUCGAAUUUCACAAGAUCGAGGAAGGUUCGGGAAUAUAAUAUUGCCAUUUAUGGAAGUGUCUGUCUAAUAAGAACUGCGAUUCCCAAGAGAAAGUGCACUUACCGUUCGACCUUAGACUAUUUACAAGAUCACCAAAGUGAAAAAAUCGUAUUUUUUGUCUAAAAACAACAGUCAAAACAACUAUACUAAAAAAUCUGCAACCAAACAUCAAAAUAACGAAAUGAAUAUUCCUUAAGUUUUAACAGUGCGUAUACGCAAUGCAUUUUUCAGAAAACAAACUCACACACACACAUUCAUAUGUACGCAGAGAAUGAAAGCCGCUCAGUCGAGUUUAAAAGUAUCUGCAUCUGUGAGAUACUACCACUGCCGCUUAGACACUAUAGCUAUCUCUUUCGCUGAGAGAGCGUGAGUGAAGACGCAGCGAGAGGACACACACCCACACAAGCAGGUGUCUGUGUUGGUCGCUAUAUUUUCGCAGAUCUAUUUUAUUGAAUUUCACAAUAAAUAUUGAAUAAGCCUUAGAGGAACAGUUGUAUGAGAAGAAUAGGAUAUUGAAAUUAAAUUAAACAUUCUGCUACCCAUUACUACUUAAAUACUCUGAAAAGUAUUAUCAGCUCGACUAGUAAUCGAGUAAAUACUGAGUAAAUAGAAAUAUUGGACUAGCCGGCUAGAAACACGUGCCGCAAAAAUUUGGGUCAUGAAUCAGCUGCUGCACUCUCUCGAUUCUGACGUCACAACCCGACGAGCCUCUUUGUUUAAUUGUAAAGGAAUACAUUGUUUUUCGGCAAAUUAUCCGAUAUUUCAAUUAUUUGAGUAUAUCAAAAUGCAAUCCUUGCAUUGAAAACCCGACUUAUUGAAGACUAACGAAUUAUCCGAAGUAUGUUUGUACAUAAUUCAAUAAUUGUAAUGCAAUUUUAAUGAAUUUGAGAUACAUAUAAUAGCCUUGAAAAGGUGAUAUUUAUUUGAAUCCAGAAACAAAGUAAAAAAAACGAACUCUCUUUGUGAAAAACGAAAUAGAAAUCGGCCAGCUUAUCGGCGACGAAUAAAAUGCAUUUUGUCAACGGAUAGCAAUUAUUUGUCAUACGUGUAUGUAAAUAAUUGGUGGUAUGAUUUUACCUCUGUUUCUGAUUGGGCAAUUCAAUCUGAUGACCUAUACAUAUUUAAGUACAUCUAAACACCUAUUAGCGAAGUAUUUAUCAGCUGUCUCUUAUACACAUGUC